This 279-nucleotide ribosomal RNA is filed under the name uncultured bacterium. RNAcentral's name for it is "partial 16S ribosomal RNA". It matches the Rfam family "Bacterial small subunit ribosomal RNA", at positions 506 to 784 of the family's 1533-position model. The record is from RNAcentral.
UGCUAGCCGCCGCGGUAAUACGUAGGGGGCAAGCGUUGUCCGGAUUUACUGGGCGUAAAGCGCGCGUAGGCGGAUUGUUAAGUCUCAUGUGAAAGCCCUGGGCUCAACCUGGGAACUGCAUGGGAUACUGGCAAUCUAGAAUACAGUAGAGGGUAGUGGAAUUUCAGGUGUAGCGGUGAAAUGCGUAGAGAUCUGAAGGAACAUCAGUGGCGAAGGCGACUACCUGGACUGAUAUUAACGCUGAGGUGCGAAAGCGUGGGGAGCAAACGGGAUUAGAUA